GUGUGGCUUUGCCUGCUAUCUCUUACCCAUGUCUUUUAAGUACCUUCGUUUCCUCGGCGGGUUCGCCCGCCGAUUGGACAAUUUAAACCAUUUGCAGUUGCAAUCAGCGUCUGAAAAAACUUAAUAGUUACAACUUUCAACAACGGAUCUCUUGGUUCUGGCAUCGAUGAAGAACGCAGCGAAAUGCGAUAAGUAGUGUGAAUUGCAGAAUUCAGUGAAUCAUCGAAUCUUUGAACGCACAUUGCGCCCCUUGGUAUUCCAUGGGGCAUGCCUGUUCGAGCGUCAUUUGUACCUUCAAGCUCUGCUUGGUGUUGGGUGUUUGUCUCGCCUCUGCGUGUAGACUCGCCUCAAAACAAUUGGCAGCCGGCGUAUUGAUUUCGGAGCGCAGUACAUCUCGCGCUUUGCACUCAUAACGACGACGUCCAAAAGUACAUUUUUACACUCUUGACCUCGGAUCAGGUAGGGAUACCCGCUGAACUUAAGCAUAUCAAAAGCCGGGAGGAAAA
RNAcentral lists this ribosomal RNA (506 nucleotides) under fungal sp. GQGC1. RNAcentral's name for it is "eukaryotic LSU rRNA". The stretch from base 132 to 285 matches the Rfam family "5.8S ribosomal RNA". The record is from RNAcentral. Lineage: Eukaryota; Fungi.